RNAcentral lists this long non-coding RNA (281 nucleotides) under Capra hircus (goat). RNAcentral's name for it is "lncRNA (ENSCHIG00000001616.1)". The record is from RNAcentral. Lineage: Eukaryota; Metazoa; Chordata; Mammalia; Artiodactyla; Bovidae.
GUUUUUCCCUUGUGCCUUAUACUCCAUGGUAAGGCUGUGGAUCAGAGGGGAUAGAAACGACAGUGGGUGACACUCAGUGUCAGUAACUGGGGCUUUUAUUUCAAGUCCAAAUCAGCAACAAAAAGAAGAUUGCAGGCAUGUGGAAUCUUAACUCACUAAACAAGGAUCAAACCUGCAUACCCUACAUUGGAGGGUAAACUCAAAAACUGGACCAUCAAGGAAGUCCCUAAACUAUAGCCUUUGGGCAAAGUAGCAGAAUAUAUGCCUGAGCCAUAUUCUCA